UACAGAGGGCGCGAGCGUUGUCCGGAAUCACUGGGCGUAAAGGGCGCGUAGGCGGCGUCAUAAGGCCGCGGUGAAAGUCUGGGGCUCAACCCCAGAUCGGCCGCGGCGACUGUGUCGCUCGAGCACGGUAGAGGCAGAUGGAAUUCCCGGUGUAGCAGUGAAAUGCGUAGAGAUCGGGAGGAACAUCAGUUGCGAAGGCGGCUCUCUGGACCAGCACUGACACUGAGGCACGAAAGCGUGGGGAGCAAACAGG
RNAcentral lists this ribosomal RNA (253 nucleotides) under uncultured bacterium. RNAcentral's name for it is "partial 16S ribosomal RNA". It matches the Rfam family "Bacterial small subunit ribosomal RNA", at positions 524 to 776 of the family's 1533-position model. The record is from RNAcentral.